Molecule: ribosomal RNA, 1539 nt
Filed under: Klebsiella ornithinolytica
Lineage: Bacteria; Pseudomonadati; Pseudomonadota; Gammaproteobacteria; Enterobacterales; Enterobacteriaceae
Description: bacterial SSU rRNA
Rfam family: Bacterial small subunit ribosomal RNA
Source: RNAcentral
AAUUGAAGAGUUUGAUCAUGGCUCAGAUUGAACGCUGGCGGCAGGCCUAACACAUGCAAGUCGAGCGGUAGCACAGAGAGCUUGCUCUCGGGUGACGAGCGGCGGACGGGUGAGUAAUGUCUGGGAAACUGCCUGAUGGAGGGGGAUAACUACUGGAAACGGUAGCUAAUACCGCAUAACGUCGCAAGACCAAAGUGGGGGACCUUCGGGCCUCAUGCCAUCAGAUGUGCCCAGAUGGGAUUAGCUAGUAGGUGGGGUAAUGGCUCACCUAGGCGACGAUCCCUAGCUGGUCUGAGAGGAUGACCAGCCACACUGGAACUGAGACACGGUCCAGACUCCUACGGGAGGCAGCAGUGGGGAAUAUUGCACAAUGGGCGCAAGCCUGAUGCAGCCAUGCCGCGUGUAUGAAGAAGGCCUUCGGGUUGUAAAGUACUUUCAGCGAGGAGGAAGGCGUUAAGGUUAAUAACCUUGGCGAUUGACGUUACUCGCAGAAGAAGCACCGGCUAACUCCGUGCCAGCAGCCGCGGUAAUACGGAGGGUGCAAGCGUUAAUCGGAAUUACUGGGCGUAAAGCGCACGCAGGCGGUUUGUUAAGUCAGAUGUGAAAUCCCCGGGCUCAACCUGGGAACUGCAUUUGAAACUGGCAAGCUUGAGUCUUGUAGAGGGGGGUAGAAUUCCAGGUGUAGCGGUGAAAUGCGUAGAGAUCUGGAGGAAUACCGGUGGCGAAGGCGGCCCCCUGGACAAAGACUGACGCUCAGGUGCGAAAGCGUGGGGAGCAAACAGGAUUAGAUACCCUGGUAGUCCACGCUGUAAACGAUGUCGACUUGGAGGUUGUUCCCUUGAGGAGUGGCUUCCGGAGCUAACGCGUUAAGUCGACCGCCUGGGGAGUACGGCCGCAAGGUUAAAACUCAAAUGAAUUGACGGGGGCCCGCACAAGCGGUGGAGCAUGUGGUUUAAUUCGAUGCAACGCGAAGAACCUUACCUACUCUUGACAUCCAGAGAACUUAGCAGAGAUGCUUUGGUGCCUUCGGGAACUCUGAGACAGGUGCUGCAUGGCUGUCGUCAGCUCGUGUUGUGAAAUGUUGGGUUAAGUCCCGCAACGAGCGCAACCCUUAUCCUUUGUUGCCAGCGGUCCGGCCGGGAACUCAAAGGAGACUGCCAGUGAUAAACUGGAGGAAGGUGGGGAUGACGUCAAGUCAUCAUGGCCCUUACGAGUAGGGCUACACACGUGCUACAAUGGCAUAUACAAAGAGAAGCGACCUCGCGAGAGCAAGCGGACCUCAUAAAGUAUGUCGUAGUCCGGAUUGGAGUCUGCAACUCGACUCCAUGAAGUCGGAAUCGCUAGUAAUCGUAGAUCAGAAUGCUACGGUGAAUACGUUCCCGGGCCUUGUACACACCGCCCGUCACACCAUGGGAGUGGGUUGCAAAAGAAGUAGGUAGCUUAACCUUCGGGAGGGCGCUUACCACUUUGUGAUUCAUGACUGGGGUGAAGUCGUAACAAGGUAACCGUAGGGGAACCUGCGGUUGGAUCACCUCCUUA